GGAUCCAGACUUUGAUCCUGGCUCAGGAUGAACGCUAGCUACAGGCUUAACACAUGCAAGUCGAGGGGAAACGACAUCGAAAGCUUGCUUUUGAUGGGCGUCGACCGGCGCACGGGUGAGUAACGCGUAUCCAACCUGCCCACCACUUGGGGAUAACCUUGCGAAAGUAAGACUAAUACCCAAUGAUAUCUCUAGAAGACAUCUGAAAGAGAUUAAAGAUUUAUCGGUGAUGGAUGGGGAUGCGUCUGAUUAGCUUGUUGGCGGGGUAACGGCCCACCAAGGUAACGAUCAGUAGGGGUUCUGAGAGGAAGGUCCCCCACAUUGGAACUGAGACACGGUCCAAACUCCUACGGGAGGCAGCAGUGAGGAAUAUUGGUCAAUGGGCGAGAGCCUGAACCAGCCAAGUAGCGUGCAGGAUGACGGCCCUAUGGGUUGUAAACUGCUUUUAUAAGGGAAUAAAGUGAGUCUCGUGAGACUUUUUGCAUGUACCUUAUGAAUAAGGACCGGCUAAUUCCGUGCCAGCAGCCGCGGUAAUACGGAAGGUCCGGGCGUUAUCCGGAUUUAUUGGGUUUAAAGGGAGCGUAGGCCGGAGAUUAAGCGUGUUGUGAAAUGUAGACGCUCAACGUCUGCACUGCAGCGCGAACUGGUUUCCUUGAGUACGCACAAAGUGGGCGGAAUUCGUGGUGUAGCGGUGAAAUGCUUAGAUAUCACGAAGAACUCCGAUUGCGAAGGCAGCUCACUGGAGCGCAACUGACGCUGAAGCUCGAAAGUGCGGGUAUCGAACAGGAUUAGAUACCCUGGUAGUCCGCACGGUAAACGAUGGAUGCCCGCUGUUGGUCUGAAUAGGUCAGCGGCCAAGCGAAAGCAUUAAGCAUCCCACCUGGGGAGUACGCCGGCAACGGUGCAACUCAAAGGAAUUGACGG
Molecule: ribosomal RNA, 924 nt
Filed under: uncultured Bacteroidota bacterium
Lineage: Bacteria; Pseudomonadati; Bacteroidota
Description: bacterial SSU rRNA
Rfam family: Bacterial small subunit ribosomal RNA
Source: RNAcentral